AGGUGRACYUGCGGAAGGAUCAUUUGUCGAWUCCUACAAAAUGCAAAUGACUAGUGAACAUGUGUUUUCAAUUGAGGAGGUGGGUAAUUGGGUUUAAMCCUUGUUGCCCAUCUCUCUYUCGGUCAAUUGGUGCCUUGCACGGUUCCCGGUUGCACCUUAUAACAAAUUAAAAAUUCGGCGCGAGAAGCGCCAAGGACUAUACUAAAGGAAUACCUCUUGGCAGUCCGGUUGUUUGCAACCAUGGGUUGUCAAGGUUAAGGYUCCAUUUAAAUYUAAAACGACUCUCGGCAASGGAUAUYUAGGYUCUCGCAUCGAUGAAGAACGUAGCAAACUGCGAUACUUGGUGUGAAUUGCAGAAUCCCGUGAACCAUGGAGUCUUUGAACGCAAGUUGCGCCCGAAGCCAYUAGGUUGAGGGCACGUCUGCCUGGGCGUCACMCAAUGUGUCGCCCCCUUGCAACUCGCCUUGCACGGGAUGAGUGUUGCUAAUGGGGGCGGAGAAUGGCUUCCCGUGCAUAGGUGCGGCCGGCCUAAAUUGUAGUCCCUCAUCUCGCAGGUUCACAACAAGUGGUGGUUGAAAAGCUUAAACAAGUUGUGCACACCAUGCGAUGGAGGUGAUGUUUUGGACCCUAAGGCAAUCCCUCUAUUGUGARGARCGUUUGUCACGACUGCGACCCCAGGUCA
This 682-nucleotide ribosomal RNA is filed under the name Decalepis hamiltonii. RNAcentral describes it as "eukaryotic LSU rRNA". The record is from RNAcentral. Lineage: Eukaryota; Viridiplantae; Streptophyta; Magnoliopsida; Gentianales; Apocynaceae.